UACGUAGGGGGCAAGCGUUGUCCGGAAUCAUUGGGCGUAAAGCGCGUGUAGGCGGCUCGAUAAGUCUGCUGUGAAAGUCCAGGGCUCAACCCUGGGAUGCCGGUGGAUACUGUCGAGCUCGAGUCCGGAAGAGGCGAGUGGAAUUCCUGGUGUAGCGGCGAAAUGCGCAGAUAUCAGGAGGAACACCAAUGGCGAAGGCAGCUCGCUGGGACGUGACUGACGCUGAGACGCGAAAGCGUGGGGAGCAAACAGG
RNAcentral lists this ribosomal RNA (253 nucleotides) under uncultured bacterium. RNAcentral describes it as "partial 16S ribosomal RNA". It matches the Rfam family "Bacterial small subunit ribosomal RNA", at positions 524 to 776 of the family's 1533-position model. The record is from RNAcentral.